RNAcentral lists this long non-coding RNA (233 nucleotides) under Elaeis guineensis (African oil palm). Its description in RNAcentral is "long non-coding RNA (EGUI_LNC045298)". The record is from RNAcentral. Lineage: Eukaryota; Viridiplantae; Streptophyta; Magnoliopsida; Arecales; Arecaceae.
GCUUAGCUAGACAUAGUUUGAUUUAAAAUCUAAAAAUAAAAUAAAAUAAAAUAUUAUAUUAUUUGCUGAAAUUUAAUUUGUAAAAAUUAAAAAUUACAGAUUAAAAGAUGCAAAAAUUUAAACUACUCUAUUGUAAAAAUUAAAAUUAUAAAAAUUAAAUAAAAAAUUAAUUUAUUACUGAAUAAAAAUUUUGAUAUAAAAAAAAUUUUUAACUUCUAAACCAUUAACGAGGC